UCUGUUUCUGUAUACGUAUGCCAUAGCAUAUUAUUUCUGUUGCAUGGGACAUGGGUUUAUAUUGAUGGAGGAAGCGUUCUGGCAGCCUCGUUGCAGUCUGGUGGCUUCGCCACAUAUAUAUAUCUGUUCUGGUGGCCUAGCCACAAUAUCUGUAUCUGGUGACUUCGUCACAAUAUCUGGCAACUUCGCUGCAAUUUAUGCGGUGUGUAGCGGUUGGGUGGGUCGAGUAG
This 230-nucleotide long non-coding RNA is filed under the name Gossypium barbadense (sea-island cotton). RNAcentral's name for it is "long non-coding RNA (GBAR_LNC006501)". The record is from RNAcentral. Lineage: Eukaryota; Viridiplantae; Streptophyta; Magnoliopsida; Malvales; Malvaceae.